Molecule: ribosomal RNA, 496 nt
Filed under: uncultured bacterium
Lineage: Bacteria
Description: partial 16S ribosomal RNA
Rfam family: Bacterial small subunit ribosomal RNA
Source: RNAcentral
GAUGAACGCUGGCGGCGUGCCUAAUACAUGCAAGUCGAGCGAACAGACGAGGAGCUUGCUCCUCUGACGUUAGCGGCGGACGGGUGAGUAACACGUGGAUAACCUACCUAUAAGACUGGGAUAACUUCGGGAAACCGGAGCUAAUACCGGAUAAUAUAUUGAACCGCAUGGUUCAAUAGUGAAAGACGGUUUUGCUGUCACUUAUAGAUGGAUCCGCGCCGCAUUAGCUAGUUGGUAAGGUAACGGCUUACCAAGGCAACGAUGCGUAGCCGACCUGAGAGGGUGAUCGGCCACACUGGAACUGAGACACGGUCCAGACUCCUACGGGAGGCAGCAGUAGGGAAUCUUCCCAAAGGGCGAAAGCCUGACGGAGCAACGCCGCGUGAGUGAUGAAGGUCUUCGGAUCGUAAAACUCUGUUAUUAGGGAAGAACAAAUGUGUAAGUAACUAUGCACGUCUUGACGGUACCUAAUCAGAAAGCCACGGCUAACUACGUG